UUUCACUGUUUUCUUUUCAUGGCAGCAGCCAAUCUCCAAAUACCAAAUUCUGUUCUUGUUAUCUAUUGCUCCAUAACAACUCACUGCAAAACAGUGGCUAAAACAAGAAUCAUUCUCUAACAUCUUGAGGUUUAUCUGGGUCAGAAAUUUGAGAAAGGGUUGGCCGGGCAGUUCCGGUUUCAUAUCUCCUGGGUGAAAGCAGUCAGAUGAUGGCUGGAGCUGAAACAGCAAGAGCAUGGAACAUCUGGGGACCGUCCGGACAGUUGAUCAAGGAGAUUCUGAGGCUGCCAACUUCAUCUGUAUUCAGAAGUAUGAAGUGCCCAUGGCUUCUAGGAUUCUGAGGUUACUACAGAAUGUUAAGGAGUGGGUUCUGUGAACAGAUGUACAUAGGUUUACAAACUUGGAUGUGUUUGUCAUGAAGCCACAAGAUCACAGCAUGGAAGUGCCACGCGAAUACAAUCCUGUGAGUGUGCAUCAGGAUUUCACUCUCAGAACACCUGCUUCUAGGAAAUAUAUACAACAGCCAAACUGACCUGUAGCCAAGCAGCGAACAUACAAUUCUUUUGCUGACAGAGAAUCUAUUUCUCAGA
Molecule: long non-coding RNA, 590 nt
Organism: Panthera uncia (snow leopard)
Lineage: Eukaryota; Metazoa; Chordata; Mammalia; Carnivora; Felidae
Exons: 3
Source: RefSeq, a predicted model, not a curated record